GAUGAACGCUGGCGGCGUGCCUAAUACAUGCAAGUCGAGCGAACGGACGAGAAGCUUGCUUCUCUGAUGUUAGCGGCGGACGGGUGAGUAACACGUGGAUAACCUACCUAUAAGACUGGGAUAACUUCGGGAAACCGGAGCUAAUACCGGAUGAUAUUUUGAACCGCAUGGUUCAAUAGUGAAAGACGGUCUUGCUGUCACUUAUAGAUGGAUCCGCGCUGCAUUAGCUAGUUGGUAAGGUAACGGCUUACCAAGGCAACGAUGCAUAGCCGACCUGAGAGGGUGAUCGGCCACACUGGAACUGAGACACGGUCCCGACUCCUACGGGAGGCAGCAGUAGGGAAUCUUCCGCGAUGGGCGAAAGCCUGACGGAGCAAAGCCGCGUGAGUGAUGAAGGUCUUCGGAUCGUAAAACUCUGUUAUUAGGGAAGAACAUAUGUGUAAGUAACUGUGCACAUCUUGACGGUACCUAAUCAGAAAGCCACGGCUAACUACGUG
This 497-nucleotide ribosomal RNA is filed under the name uncultured bacterium. Its description in RNAcentral is "partial 16S ribosomal RNA". It matches the Rfam family "Bacterial small subunit ribosomal RNA", at positions 28 to 507 of the family's 1533-position model. The record is from RNAcentral.